GACGAACGCUGGCGGCGUGCCUAAUACAUGCAAGUCGAGCGAAGAUUUUCUGGUGCUUGCGCCGGAACAACUUAGCGGCGAACGGGUGAGUCACACGUAAAGAACCUGCCUCAUUGGCUGAGACUACUGUUGGAAAGGAUAGCUCAUACCGGAUAACAGCAUUAACUGCAUGGGUGAUGAUUAAAAGUUGGUUUUGCUAACACUAUGAGAUGGCUUUGCGGUGCAUUAGCUAGUUGGUGGGGUAAAGGCCUACCAAGGCGACGAUGCAUAUCCGACCGGAGAGGGGGAUCGGCCACACUAGAACUGAGACGGCGCCCAGAGUCCUACGGGAGGCAGCAGUCGGGAAUCUGCGGCAAUGGUCGAAAGCCUGGCGGAGCAACGCCGCGUGUGUUAAGGAGGCUUUCGGUUCGUGAAGCUCUCUUGUUAGGUAAGAAUGAUUUUGUAGUAUCACGACGCGGUAGUGACGGUACCUAGCCAGAAAGCCACGGCUAACUACGUG
RNAcentral lists this ribosomal RNA (499 nucleotides) under uncultured bacterium. Its description in RNAcentral is "partial 16S ribosomal RNA". It matches the Rfam family "Bacterial small subunit ribosomal RNA", at positions 28 to 507 of the family's 1533-position model. The record is from RNAcentral.